ACACGACUACAUUAGAUACCCCCGUAGUCCCAGCCCUAAACGAUGCUCGCUAGGUGUCAGGGACGGUGCGACCGUUUCUGGUGCCGCAGGGAAGCCGUGAAGCGAGCCACCUGGGAAGUACGGUCGCAAGGCUGAAACUUAAAGGAAUUGGCGGGGGAGCACUACAACGGGUGGAGCCUGCGGUUUAAUUGGACUCAACGCCGGAAAUCUUACCGGGACCGACAGCAACAUGAAGGCCAGGCUGAAGACUUUGCCGGAUUAGCUG
Molecule: ribosomal RNA, 265 nt
Filed under: uncultured archaeon
Lineage: Archaea
Description: partial 16S ribosomal RNA
Rfam family: Archaeal small subunit ribosomal RNA
Source: RNAcentral